AUUGAACGCUGGCGGCAGGCCUAACACAUGCAAGUCGAACGAGGGGCGGAAGGGUGAGUAAUGUAUGGGAAACUGCCUGAGGGAGGGGGAUAACUACUGGGAACGGUAGCUAAUACCGCAUACCAUCAGAUGGGCCCAGAUGGGAUUAGCGAGUUGGUGGGGUAACGACUCACCAAGGCGACGAUCCCUAGCUGGUCUUAGAGGAUGACCAGCCACACUGGAACUGAGGCACGUUCCAGACUCCUACGGGAGGCAGCAGUGGGGAAUAUUGCACAAUGGGCGCAACCCUGAUGCAGCCAUGCCGCGUGUAUGAAGAAGGCCUUCGGGUUGUAAAGUACUUUCAGCGGGGAGGCGUUACCCGCAGAAGAAGCACCGGCUAACUCCGUGCCAGCAGCCGCGGUAAUAC
Molecule: ribosomal RNA, 406 nt
Filed under: uncultured bacterium
Lineage: Bacteria
Description: partial 16S ribosomal RNA
Rfam family: Bacterial small subunit ribosomal RNA
Source: RNAcentral